Molecule: ribosomal RNA, 447 nt
Filed under: uncultured bacterium
Lineage: Bacteria
Description: partial 16S ribosomal RNA
Rfam family: Bacterial small subunit ribosomal RNA
Source: RNAcentral
AACGAACGCUGGCGGCAGGCUUAACACAUGCAAGUCGAGCGCCCCGAAAGGGGAGCGGCAGACGGGUGAGUAACGCGGGGGAAUGUGCCCUUUGGUCUGGAAUAACUCAGGGAAACUUGAGCUAAUACCGGAUAAGCCCUUCGGGGGAAAGAUUUAUUGCCAUUGGAGCAGCCCGCGUCAGAUUAGCUAGUUGGUGAGGUAAAAGCUCACCAAGGCGAUGAUCUGUAGCUGGUCUGAGAGGACGACCAGCCACACUGGGACUGAGACACGGCCCAGACUCCUACGGGAGGCAGCAGUGGGGAAUAUUGGACAAUGGGGGCAACCCUGAUCCAGCCAUGCCGCGUGAGUGAUGAAGGCCUUAGGGUUGUAAAGCUCUCUUACUCGGGAAGAUAAUGACUGUACCGAGAGAAUAAGCCCCGGCUAACUUCGUGCCAGCCGCCGCGGUAA